CCAGACUCCUACGGGAGGCAGCAGUGGGGAAUAUUGCACAAUGGGGGGAACCCUGAUGCAGCGACGCCGCGUGAGUGAAGAAGUAUUUCGGUAUGUAAAGCUCUAUCAGCAGGGAAGAAAAUGACGGUACCUGACUAAGAAGCCCCGGCUAACUACGUGCCAGCAGCCGCGGUAAUACGUAGGGGGCAAGCGUUAUCCGGAAUUACUGGGUGUAAAGGGUGAGUAGGCGGCAUGGUAAGCCAGAUGUGAAAGCCCGGGGCUCAACCCCGGGACUGCAUUUGGAACUGUGCUGCUAGAGUGUCGGAGAGGCAGGCGGAAUUCCUAGUGUAGCGGUGAAAUGCGUAGAUAUUAGGAGGAACACCGGUGGCGAAGGCGGCCUGCUGGACUGUGACUGACGUUGAGGCCCGAAGGCGUGGGGAGCAAACAGGAUUAGAUACCCUUGUAAG
This 446-nucleotide ribosomal RNA is filed under the name uncultured bacterium. RNAcentral's name for it is "partial 16S ribosomal RNA". It matches the Rfam family "Bacterial small subunit ribosomal RNA", at positions 331 to 793 of the family's 1533-position model. The record is from RNAcentral.